This 20-nucleotide microRNA is filed under the name Populus trichocarpa (black cottonwood). RNAcentral's name for it is "ptc-miR394a-3p". Its record names the gene ptc-miR394a-3p. Lineage: Eukaryota; Viridiplantae; Streptophyta; Magnoliopsida; Malpighiales; Salicaceae. RNAcentral also lists the same sequence under 1 other name. The record is from miRBase by way of RNAcentral.
CUGUUGGUCUCUCUUUGUAA